This 205-nucleotide long non-coding RNA is filed under the name Nicotiana benthamiana. RNAcentral describes it as "long non-coding RNA (NBEN_LNC021409)". Lineage: Eukaryota; Viridiplantae; Streptophyta; Magnoliopsida; Solanales; Solanaceae. The record is from RNAcentral.
GAUGAUUGUUAUUAUAUUCCUAAAUUUAUUUCGAACAUAAUUUCAGCUUCUAUGUUAGACAAACGUGGUAUUCGCAUUAAUAUAGGCAAUGGUAUUUGCUCUAUGUAUUAUAGUGAUAAUUUAUAUGUGAAUGGCUAUCUCCAACAUGAUGUUUAUGUCUUACCUAGUGUGAAUGCUAAUUCGAUUAUGCAUGUUUCAAGUCUUN